AGUUUCUAGGUUAAAUAAACCCACAUAGUUCAAAUAUGUAAAUGUAUAAAAGUUUUAUACGAAACUA
This 67-nucleotide transfer RNA is filed under the name Heterodoxus spiniger. RNAcentral's name for it is "tRNA-Trp". The record is from RNAcentral. Lineage: Eukaryota; Metazoa; Arthropoda; Insecta; Psocodea; Boopidae.